This 501-nucleotide ribosomal RNA is filed under the name uncultured bacterium. RNAcentral describes it as "partial 16S ribosomal RNA". It matches the Rfam family "Bacterial small subunit ribosomal RNA", at positions 899 to 1397 of the family's 1533-position model. The record is from RNAcentral.
ACUCAAAUGAAUUGACGGGGGCCCGCACAAGCGGUGGAGCAUGUGGUUUAAUUCGACGCAACGCGCAAAACCUUACCUGGGCUAGAAAUGGCAGAAACCUGGUCGAAAGAUCGGGGUGCCCUUCGGGGAAUCUGUUGUUAGGUGCUGCAUGGCUGUCGUCAGCUCGUGUCGUGAGAUGUUGGGUUAAGUCCCGCAACGAGCGCAACCCUUGCCGUUAGUUGCCAGCAUUAAGUUGGGCACUCUAACGGGACUGCCGACUCUUAAGUCGGAGGAAGGUGGGGAUGACGUCAAGUCCUCAUGGCCCUUACGUCCAGGGCUACACACGUGCUACAAUGGUCAGUACAAAGGGUUGCGAACCCGCGAGGGGGAGCUAAUCUCAAAAAACUGGCCUCAGUACAGAUAAGAGUCUGCAACUCGACUCUUUGAAGUCGGAAUCGCUAGUAAUCCCUGAUCAGCAUGGCAGGGGUGAAUACGUUCCCGGGCCUUGCACACACCGCCCGU